RNAcentral lists this unclassified non-coding RNA (549 nucleotides) under Hevea brasiliensis (rubber tree). Lineage: Eukaryota; Viridiplantae; Streptophyta; Magnoliopsida; Malpighiales; Euphorbiaceae. The record is from RNAcentral.
UUUUUGUUUAGUCACAAGCAAAAAACCAAUCCAACGCCACAUUCAAGAAUAAUAAAUAUCUAACUUACAACACGGACAAAGUAGCAUUCUCAGUCUAGGUUUAGCUGUGUAGGAUAUGAUUCAUAUCCCCAGCUGCAUUCCUACACAACUAAGUGGCCACAAGAACUACAUUUUGAACAGCUUGACAUUGAAGAUGGAGUUCAAGCGUUCAGCAUCCUCCAUUGCUAAAACCAAAAAAAAAAAUAUACAUCUUGACAGAGUCCAAUGAUUAUUCUACUAUUUUAAGAAAUUUCAGAUCAUCCAGCAUGCAUAUAUUGUUGACACCAGUAACAGACUUCAAAGCCAAUCACAGUUCUCCAUGGCCACAACCCUUCACUUAGUAUGGCCUAUACCUCCAAUCUGCUCUUGAAGGUCUAGCACCACCCAUUCCAUAACCCCAAUCAUCAAAAUCAAGGCUUCCAUACAUCCUACCAAAGUUGCGUAAAGGACCGCCAUAACCCCCAAAAGAUGGACCAGUAUCCAUCAUGAAAUUUCCACUUGGGCCAGCAU